GACGAACGCUGGCGGCGUGCCUAACACAUGCAAGUCGAGCGGGGUUGAGGCGAGAGGUAACUCGAGCCUCUACCUAGCGGCGGACGGGUGAGUAACGCGUGGGCAACCUGCCUCAAGGUUUGGGAUAACAGCCCGAAAGGGCUGCUAAUACCGGAUAUGCCUAUGGCCUCGCAUGGGGCUAUGAGCAAAGGGGAAACCCGCCUUGAGAUGGGCCCGCGUCCCAUCAGCUAGUUGGUGAGGUAACAGCUCACCAAGGCGACGACGGGUAGCCGGCCUGAGAGGGUGACCGGCCACACUGGGACUGAGACACGGCCCAGACUCCUACGGGGGGCAGCAGUGGGGGAUCUUGCACAAUGGGCGAAAGCCUGAUGCAGCGACGCCGCGUGAGCGAAGAAGGCCUUCGGUUGUAACCUCUGUCAUGGGGAAGAAGUAAGUGACGGUACCCAAGAGGAAGACCCUGCUAACUACGUG
RNAcentral lists this ribosomal RNA (471 nucleotides) under uncultured bacterium. Its description in RNAcentral is "bacterial SSU rRNA". It matches the Rfam family "Bacterial small subunit ribosomal RNA", at positions 28 to 507 of the family's 1533-position model. The record is from RNAcentral.